Molecule: long non-coding RNA, 1209 nt
Filed under: Scophthalmus maximus (turbot)
Lineage: Eukaryota; Metazoa; Chordata; Actinopteri; Pleuronectiformes; Scophthalmidae
Description: lncRNA (ENSSMAG00000022610.1)
Source: RNAcentral
GUAAUGAAUGGGAGAGGAUGAGAGAAUGAGCAGCUGCGGGUGAUUUAAAUUUAGUGACACAGGCUUUGACGCUGAGAAAAACAGGGAGACAGAGAGAAGGCGCCAACAGGCUGACGUAAAUGGCCCGGGGAGACGACCGAGAAGGGAGACCAAGCAGCACCUUCAGCAGAGGAGUGCAUUCGCCUUAGAGGCUACGGUCACCAGUCGCAGGAAUCGCAUAUAUCCUUUGGUCCCAUGUUGAGAGAGGUGAAGAACCUACCAAGAGAAGAAAGACUUAUCAUGGUUUUGGUCGUCGUCAGCCUGGUGGCUGGCUCCACUCUUGUCGCGGUGACGCUACUGCUGGUGUGGCUGGCCUACCGUCGCCGGGCGAGCUGGUCCGCUCCCCUCAGCAGCUCCGCCACGAGCCUGCUGUGGCUGUCUGAGGUGACUUGAUCCUACCGUGACCAAGGAGGAGCCACGGCCAAUUAGAAGUGAUCACGUUCUCACCAAAAUAACGGCAGACAAUUACAUUAGUCAACAGACAUUGGAACAGUCAAUCAUAUUAGCCGUAGAGCAGAGGCGGCCACUCGCAUCAGCCACUAUAGGCCAGACUUGAAGUGGAGAAGCAAUCCAAUUCACACCUCCUCUCACAGGUGACACAGCUGUUGCAGUCAAAUUUCACACUUAACCAAGAGCAACCCAUUAUCAUUCACUGAAAAUAAACACCUUCCCCCGAAUAGAAAAGCUGCUCUGAGCCCUUUAUUUUCACUCAGUGGCAACAAAUCAAUUCUCUAUGUAUGAGAUUUGCUGCUUGAUACAGGUUUAUAUUUAAAAUAUAUGCAUUCCUGGUUUGGCUUUUAGAGUUAGAGCCCCUGCGCACAUUUACUGAAUGUAGACACAUUUACUGCAUGUAAACAUGAAGCAUGAGACAUAAACCUCCACUGAGAAGAACAAAAAUACUGGAAGUCGAAAACAUAUAAACAUAUAUAUAACAACAUAUAAUACAUAAAACAAAUAUUAAUAUACUUUUUUCAUUGUGUAUCAUUUUAAAUCAUUGCAGGCUUGACUUGCCCUAUUUUUGUGAUGUCCUCUCAUUUCCACUUCCUCUUCUACAAUAGUUUAUUGCCACCUGAAGAAUAAAACUCUAGGGAGUUUUCCACCACAGAAUCUGCUGAAAUAACCCCCGACCCCACCAGCUUAAAACCAAACCUUUUCUAUGAAUAAGAAGUG